RNAcentral lists this long non-coding RNA (839 nucleotides) under Theobroma cacao (cacao). RNAcentral's name for it is "long non-coding RNA (TCAC_LNC003382)". The record is from RNAcentral. Lineage: Eukaryota; Viridiplantae; Streptophyta; Magnoliopsida; Malvales; Malvaceae.
CUUCUUCAGUUAACUGACCUACGCUUAAUAAAUUUUGUUUAGCAUCUAGCACAAAAUAAACAUUGGGAGUAGACUUAAUACCUGUAGCUGCUUUAACACCUAUUUUUCCCUUUCCACAAAUCUAUAGUAAAUCACCAUUCCCUAUCUGCACAGUUGACUUAUAGUUUCUGUUUGGUGCCAAAAAUUGAGAUUCAUCUUUAGUCAUGUGGUUGGAACAAGCACUAUCGAUAAGCCAUAUUUCUUUCUUAGCAGAGUUUUUUGGAUUCCUUGCCAUGAAAAGAAAUUCUUCUGCUCCACCUUUCUACUCCUCUAAAGCAGCAUUUUCUCCAACCUUUGCACCCUUGUUCUUACACACCUUUUCAACAUGACCUUGUUGAUUACAGUUACGACACUUCACAUUGGGUUUGAACCAGUAAAAUUUUUCUAUGUGGUUUCUCUUUUUAUAGUAACUACAAAGAGGAAAUUUCCUUUUUUCCUUACCUUGAUUCUUGUCAUUGUUUUUCUUUUCUUUGUCCUUCUUUUCACCACCAGUUCUUUUGUAGUUGCCAUUAUUCCUUCUAUCCUUGACUCGAGCUACUAGUGCCUCCUCUAUAUGGUUAUCUUGUCUUAAAGUUCUUUUGUGUUCUUGAACUUGUAAGGCGUUAACUAGCUCAAUCAACGACAAUGUUGAUAUGUCCUUGGAGUCCUCCAAAGAAGAAAUUUUUUAUUCAAAUUUCUCUGUCAAGCUCACAAAGACUUUGUUAAUGAUUCUUUUCUCUGACAAGUUUUCACCGAGAGGCCUCAACUGGUUCACAACCUUCAAAACCUUAUUUGAAAACUCUUUAAUGGUUUCCUCAUCC